Molecule: ribosomal RNA, 292 nt
Filed under: uncultured eukaryote
Lineage: Eukaryota
Description: partial 18S ribosomal RNA
Rfam family: Eukaryotic small subunit ribosomal RNA
Source: RNAcentral
GGUUGAUCCUGCCAGUAGUCAUAUGCUUGUCCUAAAGAUUAAGCCAUGCAUGUGUACGUUCAAGCCCUUGUACGGUGAAACUGCGGAUGGCUCAUUAUAUCAGUGAUAAUUUGGUUGGUGGAGAAUACUGUGGAUAACCGUGGUAAUUCUAGAGCUAAUACAUGCAGAUCAGACGCAAGUCUGGCAUUUAUUAGAUAAAGCCUUGGCGGGGGGUGAUUAAGUUUGCCUCUUGCGCAGGUGAGUAAUGAUAACUGGGCGGAUCGCAGAAUACUGCGACGCACCAAGGAAAUUU